Molecule: ribosomal RNA, 440 nt
Filed under: uncultured bacterium
Lineage: Bacteria
Description: bacterial SSU rRNA
Rfam family: Bacterial small subunit ribosomal RNA
Source: RNAcentral
CCUACGGGUGGCAGCAGUGGGGAAUAUUGGACAAUGGGGGAAACCCUGAUCCAGCAAUGCCGCGUGAAUGAAGAAGGCCUUAGGGUUGUAAAGUUCUUUUGUCCGUGACGAUAAUGACGGUAGCGGACGAAUAAGCCCUGGCUAACUCUGUGCCAGCAGCCGCGGUAAUACAGAGAGGGCAAGCGUUGUCCGGAAUGACUGGGCGUAAAGCGCGCGCAGGCGGUCUUUUAAGUUGGGUGUGAAAUCCCCGGGCUUAACCUGGGAACUGCAUUCGAUACUGGAAGACUAGAGGCCGAGAGAGGAAAGCGGAAUGACGAGUGUAGAGGUGAAAUUCGUAGAUAUUCGUCGGAACACCAGAGGCGAAGGCGGCUUUCUGGCUCGGACCUGACGCUCAGGCGCGAAAGCGUGGGGAGCAAACAGGAUUAGAUACCCCGGUAGUC